UACGUAGGGUGCAAGCGUUGUCCGGAAUUAUUGGGCGUAAAGAGCUCGUAGGCGGUCUGUCGCGUCUGGUGUGAAAAUCCAGGGCUUAACCCUGGACCUGCAUCGGGUACGGGCAGACUAGAGUGCGGUAGGGGAGAUCGGAAUUCCUGGUGUAGCGGUGAAAUGCGCAGAUAUCGGGAAGAACACCCGUGGCGAAGGCGGCACUCUGGGACGGUACUGACGCUGAGACGCGAAAGCGUGGGGAGCGAACAGG
RNAcentral lists this ribosomal RNA (253 nucleotides) under uncultured bacterium. RNAcentral describes it as "partial 16S ribosomal RNA". It matches the Rfam family "Bacterial small subunit ribosomal RNA", at positions 524 to 776 of the family's 1533-position model. The record is from RNAcentral.